AGUUGUAGCUGGCUCCUAGGAGC
RNAcentral lists this ribosomal RNA (23 nucleotides) under Coprinellus heptemerus. RNAcentral's name for it is "partial 18S ribosomal RNA". RNAcentral also lists the same sequence under 2 other names. The record is from RNAcentral. Lineage: Eukaryota; Fungi; Basidiomycota; Agaricomycetes; Agaricales; Psathyrellaceae.